GCCUGGCUAGCUCAGUCGGUAGAGCAUGAGGCUCUUAAUCUCAGGGUCGUGGGUUCAAGCCUCACGUUGGGCG
Molecule: transfer RNA, 73 nt
Filed under: Fukomys damarensis (Damara mole-rat)
Lineage: Eukaryota; Metazoa; Chordata; Mammalia; Rodentia; Bathyergidae
Rfam family: tRNA
About the family: Transfer RNA (tRNA) molecules are approximately 80 nucleotides in length. Their secondary structure includes four short double-helical elements and three loops (D, anti-codon, and T loops).
Source: Rfam by way of RNAcentral